Molecule: long non-coding RNA, 3348 nt
Organism: Triticum dicoccoides
Lineage: Eukaryota; Viridiplantae; Streptophyta; Magnoliopsida; Poales; Poaceae
Exons: 3
Source: RefSeq, a predicted model, not a curated record
CCAGCCCACGUACGCACGUCGUCCCGCGACCACCCGCGUGCUUCCGUCCCCCCACCAACGAUCUAGGCGGCGUACCGCCCUAUCCAACCGCACCACCCUACGCUAUGUCGUCGCUGCGCCGCACUUCAUCUUUGUCAAGCCGUCGGGAGAUGGGAAGCGGGCCCAUUCUCUGUUGAUGAGGUUAUACCGGAGGUUGCACAGCAGUUCGGGAGGUCAAGGUUAACCAUAGCCCAAGAUCCCGGGCGACGAACGGGUGACCGGUCGGUGUGAUGUCCAUGUUCCCGUCGGAGAAGCCCCUCUGCGUGGUUGUCUUAUGUGACUCCUCUGCAAGGUCACCUCCAACACAGAUUCUUCCAGCAACUUCUAAUGGAGAUGGGAUAAUAGUUCCAGGAUAAAGAAGAGGUACGAGCAUGGACUUCUAAUACUUCUCUAUAAGUUUGACAUUUUUUGACACUUCCUGCAAAAAGAAAGUAAAUCUGUCAUUUCCUAAACAUCGUGAGAGUUUUGCUUGAUCUGUAACUGAAAUCUGAUAGUCUUGUUGUGUUUGUUACGCCAUUCUGUAUGUGGAAUAGUCUUCUUGUUGUGAUGAAUAGGCGCAGGGGCAGCAAUCGGAGGAGAGCGGGGCGGAUGGGGUGGAGAACGACGAGGUCACACGGAUGGAUAUAGCAGCACAUCAGAGUUAACUUCAUAUUUCUCGCUGACAAAUAUUUUGCUUUUGCUUAGUAUCCCAUAUCAUGUUAGUGCUGCAUCUAUCUUAUUUGUUUACUGAAACUAGGAGUAGUAGUACAUCAUAGUUGUUGCUGAAAAUACUCCUACGAUAGGUGAUAUUGCUUUGAUCAUAAAUGAACUGCCGUGGAACUAUGUAAUCUCGACGAUUAGAUGAAGAUGAUAAACAUUGUCAUUGUCUUGGUCGUUUGGAUGAUUUGGAAGGAGCGAUACAACAGAGUUUUGAAGGAAAAUCCUCCCGUUUGGAUCGCACGUCGAACAAAUUAAGUGUGGUGCGCACAACUGGUGUAAGAACAUGUUCUGGGAGUGUCAAGCAUUUAUUUUCAAGGUCGACAGUUCCUUGUCGAACGGUGGACCUUUUACCAAGUAUGGGGUCGCUUCAGGCAAGAGGAAUAAGUUUUCCUUCGCUGCUAUCUUGGUCGCAAGCUCCUUUCAGCAAGAACGUAACAACUUGAUGUUUGAAUGGUUCAAGGCUGAUGCUUUGUGCUUUGUAUCUCUCUGUCCGACAAGGUUUACGGUUUGUGUUUCGGCAAUUACCUUCUUUUCCUAUGUAGGUUGUGAUGAGGUCGUUCUUUUCUUUUGAGCUUUGUACUCUGAGAUUAGAUACUAUUAUUUCUUCUAUAAUGAUCAAAUGCACUUCUCUUGCAUGGUUUCAAAAAAAAAUACCUCCAUUUAAUAUUCUUACAGUUUUAAUCAUAUAUGAACUGCUAAGGAACCAUACCACCUUUCUGUUUUACUGCUAUGUUUGUUUACUAGCUAUUUUACUUCAAGUAGUCGAUUUAUAUUUAUUUUCUGAAACAAGUAGAUUUAUAUUUAUGAGCAUGCACUUGCAGUUCAGCAAUUCAUUCUCCAUGAAGAAUGACAAAAAUGUUGCACCUUAAUUAGGUAUUGUUUUCUAUGUUUAGUUAAGAUUUUUUAGCACAUCUUUUCCUUGAUAUUCAUAUUCAUAUUUAAGGUCCAUACCAGUGCACCACCAACUAUUAUUUUGACUAACUUUUGUUGGUGUGAACCAAUCUCUUUGAAUUUUGUCAGAUAGUUUUGAUCAUAAAUGAAUUGUCGCAGAACUAUAUAAUCUCCAUGAUUACAAUGCCUUGAUUUAAUAUUCUUACAGUUUUAAUCAUAUAUGAACUGCUAAGGGACCAUAUGACCUUUUUGUUUGACUUAAGAUUUUUUUACUACUAGCUACUUUACUUGCAGUAGUCAAUUUAUAUUGUGUUUUGAAACAAGUAGAUUUUUAUUUAUCAGCAUGCACUUUCAGUUCAGUAAACUGGAGUAUGCAUUAAUUCAUUCUCCAUGAAGUAAUGAUGAAAAUGUUGCACCUUAAUGAGGUAUUCUUUUCUAUUUUUUAGUACGUUUUGUACUACAAGAGGCACUAAACAUAGGAAUUGUAGUGUAACCGGAUCUAUACAUGAUUAAGUAUAUAUACUCAAGUACCUACUGAGUCUCAGUUUUGUUUAUUGCACAGGCUUUGUGUGCAUGCAUACAUAAUUUUUUAGAACAAUGACUAUGUUGCAUGCUGGUGUCCCUAUGUUUCUAUCCACAAGGCUAUAUAUGUGCCUUAUCAUCAGAAAUAAAAUGAGUAAUAGGGGCUGAGGAGAAUGUACAUUCUGUAGCUAGCUGAGCACAAUGGAUAACAAUACAUCGUAUGUAUGGAUUCUGAACUAUGUAAAGAUGAGGAGACAGAGUAAUCACAUGCCUUUUGUUACUUUGUUGUUCAUCUUUAGAACUAGAGAGAGGGAAAGACAGAGUUGCUAGCCCAUACUACUUGAGACUGAAGGUCAUUUUUCUAUAUACUACCACAUAUGAUGGCAUGUAGUUCUUGUAUAUACGUAUACUUGAGAUGUUAUGGAUAAAGUUGGAGCCAUGAAUCUAAGCUUAGCUUUCUACUACUUUAUUCCUUAUUCUUUUUAGGGAACAAUAAUAUAGCAUGAUGUAGUUCUUGUAUAUACAUAUACUUGAGAUGUUCUUGAGCGGAGUAUCCCUGGUCUUAAAACUUCUUGAGCCCCAUAAACAGAAAUGGCAAAGUGAUAGCUCUAAUAAGGUGAAUUCAAAGCUAGAUUCAUGGGGUGGUUGUUGCUUUUUCAUUCUGAGUUGUGUUUCGUUUACAUUAAACUUUUCCCAUUCCCUUCACCCCUGCCGAGACAUUGGUUGAUGUGAAGCCCAGAACAAAUUCAAUUGCACAAUUAUUCACAUUAAUGAGUGUGGGUUGCAGGGAUGUUGCGAUUGUCACAUGUCCUCCUUGAUUUAAGGCGUACCCUUCACAUGUAAGCAUUUCUUGCAGGAAACAGCAAGAGCUCGCAACUAUUCACUAGACUAGGAAGAAAUGCAUACAUAAAAAGGAAGCUAUUGCAAGCGCACAGAUGAGGAUGAGACAGAGAAGUAGCCAAGCAUGAGAUAGAUCGUCAUCAUACUUUAUCUUCUUGUAUUUCAGGUGGCACUUAGGUGUGGGGAAAUGGACACGGUGAUUGCUAGGAAGGGAGUUGAGUGGGAGCAAGACAUAGAACUUUGUGAACGAAUUUAAAUUCUGAAGGGAAAGGCAUUUUGCAAUACAGGGCCGGAAAACUUCAAUCUAGGUUGUAUAUAAACAAUCUAGCAACUAAUAUGCACUUAGUUUAUUUUUUA